Long non-coding RNA from Anolis carolinensis (green anole), 667 nucleotides. RefSeq lists it as uncharacterized. Lineage: Eukaryota; Metazoa; Chordata; Lepidosauria; Squamata; Anolidae. The transcript is spliced from 3 exons. The record is from RefSeq and is a predicted model, not a curated record.
UUAACCUCCGCCUGCUCCGCUGUUGAUGUCUUUGAGUCUUCGGAUUGUUCUUGGUCUGGAUCUUCCCGUGGCCACUCCUGGGAGUGCAUGACUCCGGUGGUUUGUCACAGGUUCAUUGGAACACGCAAGCCCCCUCACCACGACAAGGUGACAAUCCAUUGAGAGGGAGGACAAGAAUAGGGCUCUACAGUCACCUAUGUACCCACCACCAAGACACUACCCUUGGGAGGCCAUCACACUUGGACAAUGAGGGAUCGCCUAAGUAGAUUCUUCAGAGUCCUAGUCGUCUGUUCAUUGAACGUGAGAUCCUAGCCAGUCUUUCACCAUGAAGAUGCUUCUUCUGUUCUUUGCCGCUGCCUAUAUGGUUUUUCAAGUUCAAGCCAUCCCAGUGUAUGACAAUGUUCCAGAUACCAUUGAGCCUAAGCAGGUGGGUGAUGAAGGGACCCCCCUGGGCACAUAUACCUGCUAUAACAGGGGGGCCUUCUGCCAGCCCAGAGACUGGGCCUGUCCCCCGGGCUACGUGUUUGUGGAAUCUUUCAACAAUUGUGCAUAUCCACCUCUGUACAAGUGCUGCGUGCCUGGAAGGCAUGGAGGAGGCCUCAUACCUCAGGGAAAGAAGAAAUCACUGGAUUCAUAUAAAUAAAUAAAAAUAUUCAAAUUCAGCCAA